Molecule: ribosomal RNA, 439 nt
Filed under: uncultured bacterium
Lineage: Bacteria
Description: bacterial SSU rRNA
Rfam family: Bacterial small subunit ribosomal RNA
Source: RNAcentral
AGAGUUUGAUCCUGGCUCAGAUUGAACGCUGGCGGCAUGCCUUACACAUGCAAGUCGAACGGUAACAGGUCUUCGGAUGCUGACGAGUGGCGAACGGGUGAGUAAUACAUCGGAACGUGCCCGAUCGUGGGGGAUAACGCAGCGAAAGCUGUGCUAAUACCGCAUACGAUCUACGGAUGAAAGCGGGGGAUCGCAAGACCUCGCGCGGACGGAGCGGCCGAUGGCAGAUUAGGUAGUUGGUGGGAUAAAAGCUUACCAAGCCGACGAUCUGUAGCUGGUCUGAGAGGACGACCAGCCACACUGGGACUGAGACACGGCCCAGACUCCUACGGGAGGCAGCAGUGGGGAAUUUUGGACAAUGGGGGAAACCCUGAUCCAGCCAUGCCGCGUGCAGGAUGAAGGCCUUCGGGUUGUAAACUGCUUUUGUACGGAACGAAAA